Molecule: non-coding RNA, 105 nt
Organism: Capsicum annuum
Lineage: Eukaryota; Viridiplantae; Streptophyta; Magnoliopsida; Solanales; Solanaceae
Source: Rfam
GUCCCUUCGGGACAUCUGAUAAAAUUGGAACCAUACCGAGAAGAUUAGCAUGGCCCUUGCGCGGAAGACACGCACAAAUUGAGAAAUUGUCCAAAAAAAUUUUUU